AUGCAAGUCGAGCGGUAACAGAGAGUAGCUUGCUACUUUGCUGACGAGCGGCGGACGGGUGAGUAAUGCUUGGGAACAUGCCUUGAGGUGGGGGACAACAGUUGGAAACGACUGCUAAUACCGCAUAAUGUCUACGGACCAAAGGGGGCUUCGGCUCUCGCCUUUAGAUUGGCCCAAGUGGGAUUAGCUAGUUGGUGAGGUAAUGGCUCACCAAGGCGACGAUCCCUAGCUGGUUUGAGAGGAUGAUCAGCCACACUGGGACUGAGACACGGCCCAGACUCCUACGGGAGGCAGCAGUGGGGAAUAUUGCACAAUGGGCGCAAGCCUGAUGCAGCCAUGCCGCGUGUGUGAAGAAGGCCUUCGGGUUGUAAAGCACUUUCAGUCAGGAGGAAAGGUUAACGGUUAAUACCCGUUAGCUGUGACGUUACUGACAGAAGAAGCACCGGCUAACUCCGUGCCAGCAGCCGCGGUAAUACGGAGGGUGCGAGCGUUAAUCGGAAUUACUGGGCGUAAAGCGUACGCAGGCGGUUUGUUAAGCGAGAUGUGAAAGCCCCGGGCUCAACCUGGGAACUGCAUUUCGAACUGGCAAACUAGAGUGUGAUAGAGGGUGGUAGAAUUUCAGGUGUAGCGGUGAAAUGCGUAGAGAUCUGAAGGAAUACCGAUGGCGAAGGCAGCCACCUGGGUCAACACUGACGCUCAUGUACGAAAGCGUGGGGAGCAAACGGGAUUAGAUACCCCGGUAGUCCACGCCGUAAACGAUGUCUACUAGAAGCUCGGAGCCUCGGUUCUGUUUUUCAAAGCUAACGCAUUAAGUAGACCGCCUGGGGAGUACGGCCGCAAGGUUAAAACUCAAAUGAAUUGACGGGGGCCCGCACAAGCGGUGGAGCAUGUGGUUUAAUUCGAUGCACGCGAAGAACCUUACCUACCACUUGACAUACAGAUACUUACAG
This 950-nucleotide ribosomal RNA is filed under the name Pseudoalteromonas sp. WH10-1-4. Its description in RNAcentral is "bacterial SSU rRNA". It matches the Rfam family "Bacterial small subunit ribosomal RNA", at positions 55 to 1001 of the family's 1533-position model. Lineage: Bacteria; Pseudomonadati; Pseudomonadota; Gammaproteobacteria; Alteromonadales; Pseudoalteromonadaceae. The record is from RNAcentral.